Molecule: unclassified non-coding RNA, 360 nt
Filed under: uncultured fungus
Lineage: Eukaryota; Fungi
Description: partial contains 5.8S ribosomal RNA and internal transcribed spacer 2
Rfam family: 5.8S ribosomal RNA (bases 1-133)
Source: RNAcentral
UGGCUCUCGCAUCGAUGAAGAACGCAGCGAAAUGCGAUAAGUAAUGUGAAUUGCAGAAUUCAGUGAAUCAUCGAAUCUUUGAACGCACCUUGCGCUCCUUGGUAUUCCGAGGAGCACGUCUGUUUGAGUGUCAUGGAAUUCUCAACCUUCCACUUUAUUGUUGAAGGCUUGGACUUGGAGGUCGUGCUGGCUCUUGUAGUCGGCUCCUCUAAAAUGCAUUAGCGUGCGUGUUACGGAUCGCUUCAGUGUGAUAAUUAUCUGCGCUGUUGUGUUGAAGUAUAGUAUAGCCUACGCUUAUAAUCGUCUUUACGGACACUCCCUUGACAAUUUGACCUCAAAUCAGACGGGACUACCCGCUGA